CGCCUGAUAGCAUAGUGGUUAAUGCGUCUGCAUUUUUUGGUGAUACAUACGCGAUAUGUGCAGAAGACCCUCGUUCGAUUCGAGGUUGGGUGA
Molecule: non-coding RNA, 93 nt
Organism: Mycena crocata
Lineage: Eukaryota; Fungi; Basidiomycota; Agaricomycetes; Agaricales; Mycenaceae
Source: the annotation of a GenBank genome assembly